Molecule: long non-coding RNA, 502 nt
Filed under: Parus major (Great Tit)
Lineage: Eukaryota; Metazoa; Chordata; Aves; Passeriformes; Paridae
Description: lncRNA (ENSPMJG00000009462.1)
Source: RNAcentral
GUAGAAAGGAAAACUGUUUGUUGUCUAGUCUAUUUCAGCCUCAUUCAGAUCAAGAUGAUGGAUCUAUUCCUUAUUAUUAUUUUUUGGGUUUUACCAUUUAACAUUAUUUCUUCAUCCAGCUGUCUCAAGGGUUUCUAAAAAUUCAGCUCUAGACUGCAGAUGAGGGCAAGGACUUCAUAGAAGUGAAAUUCUAUUACACAAAUGACUUAUCCAAAACUUUUCAGAGUCUAAUUGUGAAAGGCUUUCAUGAAGAAGUUUGUAAGAAUAAUUGUGUUAUCUCUGAAAAGCUGAGCAUCUUGAUUUCUCAGCCCUGCAUUACUCUGUCAUCAAAAGAGUUUUUCUGUCAGCACAUGAGCUUUUCUCUAUGUGUCAGUGACAAACAUGUUGGCUCCAUUUCCACUGCAGAAGAACCACACUUCAAUGCACAGGAAACAUUGUCAUGGCAAAAUGAAAACUGAGGACUGACAAGAAAAUGGAAUAAACCCUGAAAAUUCAGGAAUAG